ACGGAAGGCAGCAGUGGGGAAUAUUGGGCAAUGGGCGAAAGCCUGACCCAGCAACGCCGCGUGAAGGAAGAAGGUCUUCGGAUUGUAAACUUCUUUUAUCAGGGACGAAGGAAGUGUCGGUACCUGAUGAAUAAGCCACGGCUAACUACGUGCCAGCAGCCGCGGUAAUACGUAGGUGGCAAGCGUUAUCCGGAUUUACUGGGUGUAAAGGGCGCGUAGGCGGGGAUGCAAGUCAGAUGUGAAAUCUAUGGGCUUAACUCAUAAACUGCAUUUGAAACUGUAUCUCUUGAGUGCUGGAGAGGUAGAUGGAAUUCCUUGUGUAGCGGUGAAAUGCGUAGAUAUAAGGAAGAACACCAGUGGCGAAGGCGAUCUACUGGACAGUAACUGACGCUGAGGCGCGAGAGCGUGGGGAGUAAACAGGAUUAGAUACCCUGGUA
RNAcentral lists this ribosomal RNA (437 nucleotides) under uncultured Oscillospiraceae bacterium. RNAcentral describes it as "partial 16S ribosomal RNA". It matches the Rfam family "Bacterial small subunit ribosomal RNA", at positions 341 to 792 of the family's 1533-position model. The record is from RNAcentral. Lineage: Bacteria; Bacillati; Bacillota; Clostridia; Eubacteriales; Oscillospiraceae.